GAAUUUUGGACAAUGGGCGACAGCCUGAACCAGCAAUGCCGCGUGCAGGAUGAAGGCCUUCGGGUUGUAAACUGCUUUUGUACGGAACGAAAAGCUUUGGGUUAAUACCCUCGAGUCAUGACGGUACCGUAAGACACAGCACCGGCCAACUUCGUCCCAGCCGCCGCGGCAAUACGUAGGGUGCAAGCGGUAAUCGGAAUUACUAGGCGUAAAGCGUGCGCAGGCGGUUUUGUAAGACAGAGGUAAAAUCCCCGGGCUCAACCUGGGAACUGCCUUUGUGACUGCAAGGCUAGAGUACGGCAGAGGGGGGUGGAAUUCCGCGUGUAGCAGUGAAAUGCGUAGAUAUGCGGAGGAACACCGAUGGCGAAGGCAACCCCCUGGGCCUGUACUGACGCUCAUGCACGAAAGCGUGGGGAGCAAACA
RNAcentral lists this ribosomal RNA (423 nucleotides) under uncultured bacterium. Its description in RNAcentral is "partial 16S ribosomal RNA". It matches the Rfam family "Bacterial small subunit ribosomal RNA", at positions 359 to 774 of the family's 1533-position model. The record is from RNAcentral.